CAUAGACUUUAUUGCUGUUGCUAUAGCCCAGAUUAAAUACUUGAACAUACAAGAUUGCACAAGGUAUGAAAAGUAAUCACCUACAAAGUCAAGAGGAAACCAAUACAGCAGCAACCAUGACUGCCUGUAAGGCAACGUUUACAUUAUUUAAGGUAUUACGUUAUUUUAGGGAACUGAAAUUGUCAGAAAAAAAAAAAAGCAGAGAACUGAGUUUGUGAGUCAUAGUUUUCUAGGACUUCAGUGAUGGUCUCUACACAAAACUGAAGGUGAAGAACUGCACACAGAGUGAAAAUAGAGAGACAACAAGAGAGGGAGGCAGGGAGAUUUAUUUUCUCAUCCUCUGUGAGAUGUAUCCACUUCCAAGACUCUGUGUGGACAAGCAGCAGAAGGAGGUUACUCUGCAAGGGGAUCCAACCUCAUACCAGAUAUGGUAUGAGGGACAUGUACUUUGAGGAAUCUUUGAUUGUGCCAGUAUGCCUACCCUUUUGCACUUCCUUCAGGUUUUUCGUGCUGUACAGCCAUUGCCAUACUCCACAGCUAGGCUAUUAAUUUGAAGUUAACAAU
This is a long non-coding RNA of Tyto alba (common barn owl), 564 nucleotides long. RefSeq lists it as uncharacterized. Lineage: Eukaryota; Metazoa; Chordata; Aves; Strigiformes; Tytonidae. The transcript is spliced from 3 exons. The record is from RefSeq and is a predicted model, not a curated record.